This 1460-nucleotide long non-coding RNA is filed under the name Aquila chrysaetos chrysaetos. Its description in RNAcentral is "lncRNA (ENSACCG00020011301.1)". The record is from RNAcentral. Lineage: Eukaryota; Metazoa; Chordata; Aves; Accipitriformes; Accipitridae.
CUUACUCUUGGACAUUUGUGUUUUGUGGAAUGAAGCUCACAAGAUUUCUUUUUUUGCUAAAUAGUUGGUUUCAAGCUAUUUGGGAGUGUGUCAGCUUUAAAAUUUUCCACUCUAAAAUCCUCAUUUUACCUCAGUUGAAACCAAGCUCCAUCCAGAACAUUCUGUUUUAGUAGUUCAUAUACCAGUGUAAAAUUUGAAUAAAAAGCCUGCGUAUUUUCCCAUAAGAAAAAUAAUAGCUUUUUAAGAUUCUUUUCUUUCACAGGGACAGAACAAUGGAAAUUAAAAGAAUGAAGAUUAUUCUGAUGUUUUUCAUGAAUUAUCAGCCAUUUAUUGUAUUUUCAGUGUAUUUACUUCAACAAAUUAGUUAAGAUAUUUAACAAAUCACUUAAAAUUAUGUAUGAAACUUUUCUUUUUCCUUUGUAGUGGUAAUGUUCUGAGAAGACCAUAUAUAGAAGGAAAAUCAUGCAGUAAUUGUGCAAAAGGGGACAUCUGUGAAAAUAAACUGUGUAGAAAUCCAGAACGUGAUAAAAUUAUCUGUAUGUAUUACAAUUUUACACUUCUACUUAUAUUUCUUAGUUACUUUAAAUGUAUGUACUCCCCAUAAAUCUUAUAUUUAUAUGCUUAUUUAUAGAUUAUUCAAGAUGGCACCCCCCUUGGGAGUUCAGAAUUGUAUGCGAUGAGGCUUGUAUCAGUCUUGUAGUUUUGAGAGCAUCACUGAUGUUUCUUGCUUUUGUAGCUGUUUAUUUUAUCAAAAAACACUUUACAAACAUGCAUAUGUCCACCUAACUGGAUUUGAAAUACAUAUUGUCUUCUGAAGAUACUUGCUAAUGAAUUAAGCAAAAAAGUCAUAUUUACAUAACUUUAAAGACAACUUUCUUUGACAAUAAUUUUGUUGCCAUUAUUUUAUUCUCCUUAGAGAAAGCUAACAUGCCAAAAAAAGUGAAAUUCUAGGUGGUUAAAACCCAUAUUGGGAAAAUAUUAAGCUAAAGAUGGUAUCUGGUAAGGUUUGGAGCCUUAUUUUUAAAUACUGAAUUUCCCAAAACUGUGAUGUACUCUGUUCCUGGAAUUCAAGGAGAAUAGUAUGUGUCAGUUAAACAACUGUUAAAAUUCAUACUAAGCCAAUAUUUGAAAUCACAAUUGCUUAAUUUAGAUGCUGAGAGAAACCUAGCAUCAUAUCAUGUACUGAGUCCUGUUUCCUAGAGUGACAGAAUGUUCUGAAUAAAAUGUAUAAAGUCAGAAGAUGUUAUACAAAGAUGGUUCUUUAGAAGUCUUGAUGUUUGUGAAGUUAGUACAACUUGGUAUUUAUAAGUUAAUGCAUUUACUUUUGCUCAUUCAAAAUGUGAAGCUUUAGAUUUAUUAUUAUUUUGUUCCUAACUCCCUCUAAACCUUGUGCUUAAUUUUCAUUUUUUUUAUUCCUUGUUUUAACGUGUACCGUUACUUACGUAUAGCUUAUUUCCUGU